GGGUUGUUAGCUCAGUUGGUAGAGCAGCGGACUCUUAAUCCGUAGGUCGAGUGUUCGAGCCACUCACAACCCA
Anopheles gambiae (African malaria mosquito) is the source of this 73-nucleotide non-coding RNA. The record is from Rfam. NCBI's taxonomy places the organism in Eukaryota, Metazoa, Arthropoda, Insecta, Diptera, Culicidae.